AAACACCUUUCUUUGCCAAUUAUGGCUAUCAUCCACGACUUGAUACUUUUGAUUUUUCAAAAGUUGAUAAUCCUGCAGCAGAAGAUAUGGCAAAUCGGUUGUCAGAGUUACAUGCAAUAAUGAAGGCGCAGUUGAAGAAAGCUCAAGAACGACAAAAGAUAAAUGCAGAUGUAUAUCGUAAAGAGCAACCACAACUCAACGUGGGUGAUAAGGUAUGGCUACUUCGUCGCAAUAUCAAGACCACUCGACCUUGUGACAAAUUGGACUAUCGUAGGCUUAGCCCCUUUUCUGUUUCUGAACAGAUCAACCCAGUUGCAUAUCGGUUACAUCUACCGGAGUCAAUGAAGAUCCAUCCUGUAUUCCACGUGUCUCUUCUUGAACCAUAUAAGACAGUGGAUAUACAAGGAAGAAGACAAAUGCCACCGCCUCCUAUAGAAGUAGAUAAUAAUGAAGAAUUUGAGGUGGAAGAGAUAUUAGACUCAAGGCGGUGCCGAAAUAAGCUGGAAUAUCUUGUUCAUUGGCGCAGAUAUGAUAUUAGUGAGCGCACAUGGGAGCCAUCCAGGAAUCUAGCAAAUGCAUCAGCUAAAGUCAAAGUUUUUCAUCAACGACAUCCAUCGAAACCAAGAUGAAAAC
Molecule: long non-coding RNA, 633 nt
Filed under: Physcomitrium patens
Lineage: Eukaryota; Viridiplantae; Streptophyta; Bryopsida; Funariales; Funariaceae
Description: long non-coding RNA (PPAT_LNC004273)
Source: RNAcentral